Long non-coding RNA from Lutra lutra (Eurasian river otter), 1031 nucleotides. RefSeq lists it as uncharacterized. The record is from RefSeq and is a predicted model, not a curated record. NCBI's taxonomy places the organism in Eukaryota, Metazoa, Chordata, Mammalia, Carnivora, Mustelidae. The transcript is spliced from 3 exons.
UUCACUUUUAAUGAAUAAAACGAAUGAAUGAAUGAUUGUCUUCACUGAACCCCAAAUAGCUUGUUUUUGCUACUGCACCAAAAGAUGGGUACGAGUGAGAUGUUUGCUAUCUGAAAGAUGAAGAUACUUGCUAUCUACAUAGAAUUUACUAUUUAGAUAGAAUAUUAAUCUAAAAUCUGUUCAAGGAGAUAGGAAACUACAGGAAUAUAUUCUAAUUGAUGCAAGAUUAUAGAGCCCAGUGGUCAAGAAAGAAUUCUUGAGAUGUUUACUGUACAAUAAGGUGUUUUUAUUAUAUAGCAUAGGGUCAGGACCCAUGGGCAGAAAGAACUACACUGGGAUUAUGAGCAACUAUUGAUUAUAUGCUUUUAAAUUUGGGGGCUGGGAAGGGUAGAGAUAACCUAGGUCUCUAAAGUGAGUUUUGCAUGAAAAGAAGAGUUACAGGAUCCUGGAGGUCUGGCUAUUGUCAAGAUAAGGUGGUUUUUAGUUUCUAGCAAAACAUUAACAGUAAGGCAGCCAUGAGUUCCUUGAGGAAUACCACAUAUAUCCCACCUCUGGUAGGAUAGAGGGGAGAGCGUUAGCUUGUGGUUUGCCUUCAGUUUGCCUUUUGCUCCCUCAUAUAUUUUUACAAAUAUAGAUAAUCCCAGCAACAACCAGAGUGGAAAGAGGGAAUAACGGUAAAAGCAUAGUAUUAUAUAACUUUUUGCGUUAAACUGAUCUGUGCUAGAAAAGUCAUUCACUGUUUUUAGAUUGGAAAAGGAAUUACUUUUGAAACAUUUUUCUCUACUAACAUACAUAUGUUGUUUGUGUGUUAUUUUAAUCUGAAACUAUGAGGUUGAGAUUAAAGCAGUGAUGUUUUAAAGUUUUUUCAGAGAAAAAAUAACCUAGGCUUUCAUUAUCUGCUAAAAGAUGCCUAAUGUAAUAGUCUCAUUUUUAAACAAAUACCUAUUUCUAAUAUUUUUAAAUUGCCGUAAAUGUUUAUUCUAAUACACCAGUGGAUGUAGUCUCCAAAAUACCAGUACCCAGCUUGUCAU